AUGGCUGUCGUCAGCUCGUGUCGUGAGAUGUUGGGUUAAGUCCCGCAACGAGCGCAACCCUCGUUCUAUGUUGCCAGCGGGUAAUGCCGGGGACUCAUAGGAGACUGCCGGGGUCAACUCGGAGGAAGGUGGGGAUGACGUCAAAUCAUCAUGCCCCUUAUGUCUUGGGCUGCACACAUGCUACAAUGGCCGGUACAAAGGGCUGCUAAGCCGCAAGGUGGAGCGAAUCCCAAAAAGCCGGUCUCAGUUCGGAUCGCAGUCUGCAACUCGACUGCGUGAAGUCGGAGUCGCUAGUAAUCCCGGAUCAGCAACGCCGGGGUGAAUACGUUCCCGGGCCUUGUACACACCGCCCGUCACACCACGAAAGUCGGCAACACCCGAAGCCGGUGGCCCAACCCGUAAGGGAGGGAGCCGUCGAAGGUGGGGUCGGUGAUUGGGGUGAAGUCGUAACAAGGUAGCCGUACCGGAAGGUGCGGCUGGAUCACCUCCUUUCUAAGGAGUUCCUACUCAGGCCUCAUUUGAGAGUCUGAGAACUCCCAGUUGAUCACUAGCUAUUCGGCUCCUCGAGCUCCGGUCCCGGUGGUAGAUGUAUUUCUCCCGGUGCUGGACCUUGUCGAGUCGGGCCCCUCUGUUCCGUUUUCUGGGAGCGCCGUGGCGCGCCCGGACCGGUACCCGCCGGCUACGUCGCCGCCUCUGGCGCUGACCUCUUCCCGUGUCGACCAGCAAGCCACCUAUGUGGCCGCUGUCGUCGGGCCCCUUGAGAACUCCAUAGCGAGCACGAGCAUCUUUGUUCUCCAAGCUACAAAGAGCCAACGGUGGAUGCCUUGGCGCCUGAAGCCGAUGAAGGACGUGGGUGGCUGCGAAAAGCCACGGGGAGCUGCCGACCAAGCUUCGAUCCGUGGAUAUCCGAAUGGGGAAACCCGG
RNAcentral lists this small RNA (924 nucleotides) under uncultured Actinomycetes bacterium. Its description in RNAcentral is "bacterial SSU rRNA". The stretch from base 1 to 492 matches the Rfam family "Bacterial small subunit ribosomal RNA", at positions 1045 to 1533 of the family's 1533-position model. The record is from RNAcentral. Lineage: Bacteria; Bacillati; Actinomycetota; Actinomycetes.